Molecule: unclassified non-coding RNA, 230 nt
Filed under: Funneliformis geosporum
Lineage: Eukaryota; Fungi; Glomeromycota; Glomeromycetes; Glomerales; Glomeraceae
Description: partial contains 5.8S ribosomal RNA and internal transcribed spacer 2
Rfam family: 5.8S ribosomal RNA (bases 1-65)
Source: RNAcentral
GUGAAUCAUCGAAUUUUUGAACGCAAAUUGCACUCUCCUCGGAGAGUAUGCCUGUUUGAGGGUCAGCCUAUAAAAAAUCGACAUCGUUGCUGUUUCGCGGUGGCGUUCGUCGGAAAUUGGGUCACCUUAAAUCUUUGGGUUUUAGGCGACUUAAAAUUUUCCUUUGGGUUCCAUGAAGGUUUCUAAGAUUUAUUUCUUUACACGUUUAAGGAUUCGAUUUUUAUUAGACG